GCCCAGGUGGUGGAAUUGGUAGACACGCCAGAUUUAGGAUCUGGUGCCGAAAGGUGUGCAGGUUCGAGCCCUGUCCUGGGUACCA
Molecule: transfer RNA, 85 nt
Filed under: Verrucomicrobiota bacterium
Lineage: Bacteria; Pseudomonadati; Verrucomicrobiota
Description: Verrucomicrobia bacterium tRNA-Leu
Rfam family: tRNA
About the family: Transfer RNA (tRNA) molecules are approximately 80 nucleotides in length. Their secondary structure includes four short double-helical elements and three loops (D, anti-codon, and T loops).
Source: RNAcentral